GACGAACGCUGGCGGCGUGCUUAACACAUGCAAGUCGAACGGAAAGGCCCUGCUUUUGUGGGGUGCUCGAGUGGCGAACGGGUUAGUAACACGUGAGUAACCUGCCCUUGACUUUGGGAUAACUUCAGGAAACUGGGGCUAAUACCGGAUAGGAGCUCCUGCUGCAUGGUGGGGGUUGGAAAGUUUCGGCGGUUGGGGAUGGACUCGCGGCUUAUCAGCUUGUUGGUGGGGUAGUGGCUUACCAAGGCUUUGACGGGUAGCCGGCCUGAGAGGGUGACCGGCCACAUUGGGACUGAGAUACGGCCCAGACUCCUACGGGAGGCAGCAGUGGGGAAUAUUGCACAAUGGGCGGAAGCCUGAUGCAGCAACGCCGCGUGCGGGAUGACGGCCUUCGGGUUGUAAACCGCUUUCGCAUGUGACGAAGCGUGAGUGACGGUAAUGGGUAAAGAAGCACCGGCUAACUACGUG
This 468-nucleotide ribosomal RNA is filed under the name uncultured bacterium. RNAcentral's name for it is "partial 16S ribosomal RNA". It matches the Rfam family "Bacterial small subunit ribosomal RNA", at positions 28 to 507 of the family's 1533-position model. The record is from RNAcentral.